GGAAUCCACACUGUAAUUCCAUCUGCUUAAUAGUUGUAUCCUGCCCUUUCCAAAUAUAGUUUGUUUCCCACCAAACGCUGUGGUUCUGUUAGAAAACACGCUUUUUUUGUAUCGAUAAAAAGUACUUUUUUUCUCGGAUUCGAGCAUUAAAACCACAUGUUUAAAGUGUCUCUGAGACGGAGACUAAUUACUGAUGACAGUAGAGGUUGGGUCACUCAUUCCUCAUGCUGAACUGGGCACGGCUAUGACUUUGUUGGACCCAAACAACAGUACAGUUCACAGAUUGAAAUGGCAGUGAUGGCACAAGAUGUCCCUGGAGGCAGAUAAAAACAGUUUUGUGGUUUCCAAGGAGAGAAGUACAUCCUGUGGCUUUCAGGGUGCUGAAGAGAAAGAGGAGAUCCCAGGGAUGGGAGAGGACAGUGUUCUGGAAAUGCUGAGCUACUCCAAAUUUACAGACCUGGAGACAUGGCUGUGUAUGCCUUCUACACUGCUGCCGAGAAGUUUGGAAUCAUUAUGUGCCACCUCUCAGUCCCUGACACCUAGUGAAACUGCAGACGCUGAGAAGAAACCCAGACCGCCGGAGGGGGACACCCCGUUCUUGUCACCACCCACAAUGGCACCUCAGUCAUCAAGGUCACCGUCACCCAUUCCUAUGGGGUCCCCAGUGCCCUCUUCGUUGGAUUCUUCAGGGAGCUCUGUCCAGGGAGGGGUUAGCGUCAGGAAGCGCCGGCGUCUGGCUGCGAGUCCUGGGGGACUGCGCUGGAAUUCUUCAGGGUUGUUGCAGCGGGACUAUGACACAGCUGAAACCCUGCCUGCUCCAGGGGCCAAGCGCAGCCCUGGCAGUGACACCAGCCUCCACACUGGCCUCUUGGGAGACUUGCAAAGAGCUACCCUGACGAAGAGUGUUUCUGUAGAUGACCGCCUGUUUCAGAAACAACACAAAGAGUCGCACAAACUACUUACACGCUUGGAAAGGGGCAAGAACAAGCUGCGAAAUAUCCAUGCCAACACAAAUGCUGCAUUCCUUGGAGGACGCCUCAUGUUUACCUCUCGGCUGGCUUCAGACUCGGUGUCCUCUCCUUUCCUCAGUGGUUUCUGGCAGCUGGCACAGGAUUCCUGCAUGUCUAUCAUUUUAAUCAAAAAUGCAGACCCACAGUCAGCCUCUCUGUCAAACACUGAAGCAGGAAUCACUAUGAAUAUCAGAUGAACCGCACAUUUUACUUGGAUUGAGUGCAGUGGAAUGCUUUUCUUUCUUUCCCUUUUUAUUUUGCUCCAGAGUACUUCCCAGAAAUAUCAAAAGGGGGCAAGCUUUCCCUCUUAGAACUCUCUGUUUCUAUGUCCUUUUUGCGAAACGUAUGGAUGUUGCGAUUUAUACCAUUAUUGCAUUUUUUAACACAUUUAACUGUAUAUUUCUGCAUUACACUGGGCAAAAAUAAUAAGGUAUUAAAUGGGCAUUGACCAUUUUGCAUUUUCCAAUAAUGCA
This 1483-nucleotide long non-coding RNA is filed under the name Scleropages formosus (Asian bonytongue). Its description in RNAcentral is "lncRNA (ENSSFOG00015030742.1)". Lineage: Eukaryota; Metazoa; Chordata; Actinopteri; Osteoglossiformes; Osteoglossidae. The record is from RNAcentral.